Molecule: long non-coding RNA, 1597 nt
Organism: Astatotilapia calliptera (eastern happy)
Lineage: Eukaryota; Metazoa; Chordata; Actinopteri; Cichliformes; Cichlidae
Source: Ensembl
GACAAAUCAACCACACUGGAUGGAUUACUAUAUCAUUUUUCUAAGGGAAUAUACUUUGACAGGAUGUCAUAGUGUAGCAAAGGGUGCUUACACCAUCACCAAGAAAGACCAAGGAAAAGACUUCCUAGUGAAGGUCGCGGGGGGCGCUGGAGCCUAUCCCAGCUGUCAUAGGGCGAGAGGCAGGGUACACCCUGGACAGGUGGCCAGUCUGUCACAGGGCCAGAGAACCAUUCGCACCUAGUGGCAAUUUGGAUUAUCCAAUUAACCUAUCCCCACAAGUUGCAUGUCUUUGGACGGUGGGAGGAAGCCGGAGUACCCGGAGUGAACCCACGCAAACACGGGGAGAACAUGCAAACUCCACACAGAAAGACCCCAGCCUGAUGGUGGAAUUGAACUCAGGACCUUCUUGCUGUGCGGCAACAGUGCUAACCACCGUGCCACCGUGCUGCAUGUGAACAGGAAAAUGACAGACGAGCUCUGGAUUAAUUAACCAAUUAGAAGUGGAGCCCCUGGGAGGCGUUUGAGGGUCCAAUCCCCUUGUUGUCAUUAGACACACAUACAUGGCCUCAAUUAGGCAGUGCUGUGAUAGGUCUCAUUGACUGGAAGAUGCAUCUCCAGGAGCAGUGUUUGUCUCCCCCCUUGAGUGACUGAGUAGGUGAGUAACCUUUUAAUUUAAUUAUCAUUAUUAUCCUGAUGUCCACUGUUUCUGCCUCCGCUAACCCCUCCUCUUGCCCUACUCAUUUCCCCCGAGGUGCAGCUCGAUUCAAUUAUAUCGGAAUCCCCAUAUUGAAGAUUUUGAGCAUCACUGUCUUUUCUCUUCUAUGUUGUCUUUCUUUCUGCAGAGAUCAAUGUCCUCUCCGUAGCUCUAAGCAACAGGCAUGUCAACUUUGUGUCUGUAAAUUUACAGAAAGUCUGUCUCACACUGAGCCCAUGCAUUGUUAUUGGUCAGGAACACAGAGGGAGAAUAAUGACUAAAUGAAAGGAUAAAAGGAAGAAUCUAUAUCCUACCAUGUUCAUAUGUUUGUAAGGUUCUUUCCCACCUUCUUAACUUGACUGACAGGGGCUGGAUACUUGAGGACUGAGUGUACACUACAGUAUGCUGUGUGUCAGCACUGAUUGGCCUUAUUAGGACAACACCGCAGACGGCCACAGACACAGCAGGGGAGUGUUGAUGCUGCUAGAGACAAGACAAGACAAGUUCACCACUUCUCAUCAUUUACUCAUUUGUCUUUUCACUUGGCCAGCAAUCACAGCUGAUCUCUACAGUAUGUAACCAUAACGGCUAAAUGACAGCCUAACCUUUUGGUCACCAGGGGACACUAAUGCAAGACUCUCAGUUUGUUUUGCUAGCAUACUGAGCCCCACAAAAUGUUUAGUAUGUUGUAAUGAGGCUCCAGUGGGCUGGUUAAUGUUUUCAUACAUAAUGUUGAGGCCUACAAAAAUGAGUCAUAAUAAGCUAAUCUUCUCAAAGUUGAAAGCCUGUCUUCACUUUGCAUGUUGCUAUGGCCCAGCCCCCAUGCCACAACAAAAAAAAUGAAAGGACAUGACAGUGAAAGAUUAAACUGAGAUAUUACAAAAUAAACAAAAAAGCAAACUG